This 223-nucleotide ribosomal RNA is filed under the name uncultured bacterium. Its description in RNAcentral is "partial 16S ribosomal RNA". It matches the Rfam family "Bacterial small subunit ribosomal RNA", at positions 326 to 539 of the family's 1533-position model. The record is from RNAcentral.
ACGCUCGACACCUACGGUAGGCAGCAGUAGGGAAUCUUCCACAAUGGGCGCAAGCCUGAUGGAGCAACACCGCGUGAGUGAAGAAGGGUUUCGGCUCGUAAAGCUCUGUUGUUGGAGAAGAACGUGCGUGAGAGUAACUGUUCACGCAGUGACGGUAUCCAACCAGAAAGUCACGGCUAACUACGUGUCAGCAGCCGCGGUAAUCUGAGCGGGCUGGCAAGGC